This is a long non-coding RNA of Oncorhynchus keta (chum salmon), 3387 nucleotides long. RefSeq lists it as uncharacterized. The transcript is spliced from 3 exons. The record is from RefSeq and is a predicted model, not a curated record. Lineage: Eukaryota; Metazoa; Chordata; Actinopteri; Salmoniformes; Salmonidae.
UAUCAAAUUGCGUGGGGGAUGUGUAGUUUAGAGAGCGUUUGCACAUUGGGAAGAUGUCGGCGAGACAUCAGAAUAGGAAUGUUGAUGUCUGGCCAAUGUAUAAACGAUGUAGAACUCUGAACGCACCUGCAAGACAUCUUGGCCAUGAGCAAACGCUGUUCAAAUGGCAUCUUUUUCCUUUAUCCUGUAUACAUCGCGCCUACGUUGGGCAGACACAUGUGUGCAAUCAGAAAACCUAUUGCUCACUAUAUGUCUGCUGCAGAGAAACGAGAGAGGGCGUGAGAACAUUUGUUUGGAUCAGUCAUGGAAAUAAAAAGUGCUGAACAGAUGUUGCCUCACGAUUACAAAAGAAGCUGGAGAACAAGCUAUAGGAUGAACAAUACCAGAGACUGUGUGCAGGAACAGCAGCCUAGCACUAGCUAAUUCUACCUAACAAUGUAUUGCAUUUUAUAUCAACCCGAUACUCAGGAGUCAAAGUGUCGAUAUAAUAUAGCUUGUGCAACUGUCACUACAACUGUCACUACAUGCCUGCAUGUGUGAGUGCCUGCGUGAGUGCAUGCGCGUGCGCGAGUGCACGUGUAUGUGGUUUCAUGCAUCUGUGUGUGCAUCUGGAGGAGCAAUACGAUUACUCCCAUAUGUUUUCAUUGCUUACUGACGCCUUGGGGCAGCCGUCCCAGACACAUAGCGCAGUUAACAAAGUGCCAGAGCCUAACCUAAAGGCAGAGGCAGAGGAACAGGGGCACAGAGAGAUGGAGGAAGAAAGAGAGGCAUUGUGUCAAACCCAGUCCAGGUGCAAACAGUGUUUCCCACAUAAUUCCCAACGACAGUUGAAUGAAAGUCAUGUCCUGCGUAUAAUCGACCCACGAGGUUGACACUAAAGCAGUAUGCUGAGCUGUCACUCCAUCAAACGCUGACACCUUGUCACUCAAACUAAACCGCUCAAUCAUGCCGACUUUCAAACAAAGAUGGCGGAGAAACAUCAAACGAGGUGUCAAGUCGUGCAGCUUGAAGAGAAGAGAUGAGGUGGGCAAAACCAUGACCGUACGCGAAUGAGACGGCUCAGCAUUUCUUUAGCAGCAGGCCGCUCCCUCACGUGUAAUGUUUGACAACAUUGUUAUAAAGACUGAGUUUCAACAGCGUGAGGGAGUGUGCCCACACAGACACACAGAAGAUUUUACUGAAGAAAAAAGCCAUUUGAUGAAUAAGCCGAUGUGAUUCUGCACUUGCUGUAAUCCAAUCAAACAGAACACUAGCUUCUGCACAGCUAUGCCUCUCUGACAGGAAACGGACAGUAAAUAAUUGGGAAGCCUCCCAGCGGACCCUCCAAAGUCCAUAUACGGCCAGAGGAAUCUCUGCAAAGCAUCUAUUAUCAUCCCCUUUGGUCGGUCAUGGCUAGAAAGGUCUGGUGUGGGGGCUGUGCUUUGGCAAAGUGGGUGGGGUUAUAUCCUUCCUGUUUGGCCCUGUCCAGGGGUGUCCUAGCAUGGGGCCACAGUGUCUCCUGACCCCUCCUGUCUCAGCCUCCAGUAUUUAUGCUGCAGUAGUUUCGGUGUGUCGGGGGGCUAGGGUCAGUUUGUUAUAUCUGGAGUACUUCUCCUGUCCUAUUCGGUGUCCUGUGUGAAUCUAAGUGUGCGUUCUCUAAUUCUCUCCUUCUCUUUUUCUUUCUCUCUCUCGGAGGACCUGAGCCCUAGGACCAUGCCCCAGGACUACCUGACAUGAUGACUCCUUGCUGUCCCCAGUCCACCUGGCCGUGCUGCUGCUCCAGUUUCAACUGUUCUGCCUUAUUAUUAUUCGACCAUGCUGGUCAUUUAUGAACAUUUUAACAUCUUGGCCAUGUUCUGUUAUAAUCUCCACCCGGCACAGCCAGAAGAGGACUGGCCACCACACAUAGCCUGGUUCCUCUCUAGGUUUCUUCCUAGGUUUUGGCCUUUCUAGGGAGUUUUUCCUAGCCACCGUGCUUCUACACCUGCAUUGCUUGCUGUUUGGGGUUUUAGGCUGGGUUUCUGUACAGCACUUUGAGAUAUCAUCUGAUGUACGAAGGGCUAUAUAAAUACAUUUGAUUUGAUUUGAUUUGUCUAGAAGGAUCUAACCAUGACCGGCCAGGAGGUAUUCCAGCAUUUGUCAAAUUAGAGUCCAAAGGUGAUUUUUUUUGGUGCAUUUUAGCUAACCCUAACCCUUUUCCUAACCUUAACCUAAUUAUCCUAAGGUGCUGCAUAAGUUCUCCUGACCUGCUACGAAAAGUCAAAUCUGACGUUAAUUUGACAAAAGCUGGAUCCCGUCUAGCCAUGAUCCUCCUGGCCCUGAAGUGACCUCUCACCUGAGUGCUGAUCUAUCCCAGGCUGCUUGCCACCGGCCCUAAAAAUGCUGAAAUGUCAAGAAUACAGAAACGCAUAGAGGCCGGGAAAAGACCAGGAAUAACCCAGCGUCUUUCCCUUAGCAUGGUUCCGACACCUCUCAGAGUUAAGUCAGACGGAAAAAAGGACUCUCUCUCUCCCACUCAUACUUUACCCAUCUCUCUCUCCCGCUCUCUCUCUCCAACUCUAACAUACUCUCCCUUCGCUCGCUCUAUUUUCUCACUCUCACACUCUCUGAGCUCGCUGCAUUUCUGCUGUAACGAUUUCACAGACAUACUGUACAGAAGAUUUCCAUUACUGAGAUUUUCCCUCUAAAUUUCUGCUCUGGAAAACUGCCAGCUGAAGCUCUUUGAAAGGGAAGAUUUUGGCAGCUACUCAAUAAAGGAAAAUAUCAUUAGAAUGUGACACAUUUUACACAGCAGACAGGCUCAAUUGUUCAUGACUAAUUUAGCAUUCACAUAGCAUUUGUGCCUGGUUGACCUCUGCUUCAGUGUGUGUGUGUGUGUGUGUGUGUGUGUGUGUGUGUGUGUGUGUGUGUGUGUGUGUGUGUGUGUGUGUGUGUGUGUGUGUGUGUGUGUGUGUGUGUGUGUGUGUGUGUGUGUGUGUGUGUGUGUGUGUUUCACAGGGGCCACAGCAGGACAAUUCCCGCAGAGGGUGAGGGGUGAUUUACAAGUAGACACAUGCAAUGAGGGUACUACUGGAAACUCACAGGCCCACCCCUCUGCCCCGUCUCAUCGACGGCUGACCGUCGUACAUGGUGAAACAUCUCCUGACCGUUUGACCUCGGGGCAGGGGAUUCCCGUACCUGGUUGACGGAGGGUUAUCGCCCAGAGGAGAGGUGCUCUGCUAGGGACAUCCUGGACCCAGGCCUCAUCUCUGAGUUCCGGCAGCCCGCUCAACCAGUGAUUGUUCCUGUUCUGCCCACCCUGAGCCUGCCUGCCGUCCUGUACCUUUGCCCCACUACUCUGGAUUAUCAACCCCUGACUGCCUCGACCUGUCGUUUGCCUGCCCCUGUUGCUGUAAUAAACAUUGUUAC